GUUCUAGGGUCGAAGGAGUCCCCACACUGUACUGAGACCGAACAGACUCCUACGGAGGCAGCAGUGAGGAUAUGUCAUGUCGCAGACUGAUAGCAUGUCGCGUGCAGAGACGUCUAUGAUGUAAACUGCUUUUUACGGGAAGAAAACAGCUACGUGUAGCUUUUGCCGGUACCGUAGGAAUAAGGAUCGGCUAACUCCGUGCCAGCAGCCGCGGUAAUACGGAGGAUUCGAGCGUUAUCCGGAUUUAUUGGGUUUAAAGGGUGCGUAGGCGGGAUCUUAAGUCAGGGGUGAAAUCUUGCGGCUCAACCGUAAAAUUGCCUUUGAUACUGGGAUUCUUGAAUUAAUUCAGAGUAGGCGGAAUGUGUCAUGUAGCGGUGAAAUGCAUAGAUAUGACACAGAACACCGAUAGCGAAGGCAGCUUACUGGGAUUUUAUUGACGCUAAAGCACGAAAGCGUGGGUAGCGAACAGGAUUAGAUACCCUGGUAGUCCACGCCGUAAACGAUGAUCACUAGUUGUUGGCGAUACACAGUCAGUGACUGAGCGAAAGUAUUAAGUGAUCCACCUGGGGAGUACGUUGGCAACAAUGAAACUCAAAGGAAUUGACGGGGGCCCGCACAAGCGGAGGAACAUGUGGUUUAAUUCGAUGAUACGCGAGGAACCUUACCCGGGCUUGAAAGUUAGCGAUGGAUUUGGAAACAGAUCUUCCCUUCGGGGCGCGAAACUAGGUGCUGCAUGGUUGUCGUCAGCUCGUGCCGUGAGGUGUCGGGUUAAGUCCCAUAACGAGCGCAACCCCUAUCGAUAGUUGCCAGCGAGUAAUGUCGGGGACUCUAUCGAGACUGCCGGUGUAAACCGCGAGGAAGGUGGGGAUGACGUCAAAUCAGCACGGCCCUUACGUCCGGGGCGACACACGUGUUACAAUGGUCGGUACAGAGGGUAGCUACCUGGUGACAGGAUGCCAAUCUCUAAAGCCGAUCUCAGUUCGGAUUGGAGGCUGAAACUCGCCUCCAUGAAGUUGGAUUCGCUAGUAAUCGCACAUCAGCCAUGGUGCGGUGAAUACGUUCCCGGGCCUUGUACACACCGCCCGUCAAGCCAUGGAAGUUGGGGGUGCCUGAAGUACGUGACCGCAAGGAGCGUCCUAGGGCAAAACCGAUAACUGGGGCUAAGUCGUAACAAGGCCGUAAA
Molecule: ribosomal RNA, 1183 nt
Filed under: uncultured bacterium
Lineage: Bacteria
Description: bacterial SSU rRNA
Rfam family: Bacterial small subunit ribosomal RNA
Source: RNAcentral